GUCUGAUGGUUGCUGGGCACUGUUGUUUAUACACAAAUCUCCAGUGGAUAAAGGAGCCACAGAAACUCUGUGAAUUAUGCAUGUUGACUUUUUCUCCUCAGCAGCUGUGAUAGCCAAGUCAUUAAUAUAUGG
Molecule: small nucleolar RNA, 132 nt
Organism: Sorex araneus (European shrew)
Lineage: Eukaryota; Metazoa; Chordata; Mammalia; Eulipotyphla; Soricidae
Source: Ensembl